UACGUAGGGUGCGAGCGUUAUCCGGAAUUAUUGGGCGUAAAGAGCUCGUAGGCGGUUUGUCGCGUUCUGUCGUUGAAAAGUCCGGGGCUUAACCCCGGAUCUGCGGUGGGUACGGGCAGACUAGAGUGCAGUAGGGGAGACUGGAAUUCCUGGUGUAGCGGUGGAAUGCGCAGAUAUCAGGAGGAACACCGAUGGCGAAAGGCAGGUCUCUGGGCUGUAACUGACGCUGAGGAGCGAAAGCAUGGGGAGCGAACAGGAUUAGAUACCCGGCGUCAUC
RNAcentral lists this ribosomal RNA (277 nucleotides) under uncultured bacterium. Its description in RNAcentral is "partial 16S ribosomal RNA". It matches the Rfam family "Bacterial small subunit ribosomal RNA", at positions 524 to 795 of the family's 1533-position model. The record is from RNAcentral.